Molecule: long non-coding RNA, 785 nt
Organism: Raphanus sativus (radish)
Lineage: Eukaryota; Viridiplantae; Streptophyta; Magnoliopsida; Brassicales; Brassicaceae
Exons: 3
Source: RefSeq, a predicted model, not a curated record
AUUUUCUUUUGUCUGGUUUUAUUUUUUUUCCUCUGUUCGGUUCCUCUUUUUACAAAAAACGAAGGCGAAGGCGAAAAACAAAACGUAGAGGGAGAUUACGUAAUCGUGGCCAACAAGAUGAGGAGGAGCGGUAGGCGGUUGGGAAAAGAGCACAUAUCCGAGAACCAGAGCGCCGGGGACAGAACGGUUUUGACGGCGACGCGCAGACGAAAAGGGAAAGAGCAUUGCGUCGGGUUCAGAUUGGCGAUUGUGUGCAAGUUGACAAGACGGAAGCGUGCAGGGAAGAAGCGAGCCAAAGGUGAGUUCUGUUAGGUUAUUGGGUUGAAGAAGCAUUUGAUACAUGUGGACACCUUUGACGUCUUUGAGCUCCUCCUCCACCGCAACAACACCAGUGCCAACACUGCCAUGUCUUUGUUUUCCUCAUUCGAUGCAAAUUUUUCCGAGCUUUCGCCGCUGCCGCUUCGUACUCUGUAACUCAUCUUCGUGCCAUGACUUCCUCUCUGUCGCAACAUGCUCAAAUCAUUGCAAUCCUUGCGUCGCAGUCGCAUCGCAGUCUUCAUGCUUGGGAUCGGAAUUGCAAGUUUUCACCAGAGAUUGACCAGUCUCAGUAUUGGGAUCAACAGAUCCAGUGACCAAUUUCCUUCUUUUUCAUAUUUGGUCCCACAUAUUUGCUUGUCUUUGGUUAAUAACGACCCUGAAAUUGUGUUCUUCAGCCCCUGUUAAAUGUUAAUAACGACCCUGAGAUAUGUUGUUUUGGGAUUUAAAUGUCGCUGAACUGAUUCAUA